This 365-nucleotide long non-coding RNA is filed under the name Nicotiana tabacum (common tobacco). Its description in RNAcentral is "long non-coding RNA (NTAB_LNC018633)". Lineage: Eukaryota; Viridiplantae; Streptophyta; Magnoliopsida; Solanales; Solanaceae. The record is from RNAcentral.
UCUUUCUGUGUAGUAGUUGCAUUCAAGAGACAAGAGUAUCUCACUUUAUUUCUACAAUGGCAGCUACUACAAUGGCUCUUUCUUCCUCUUCUUUUGUCGGAAAGGCGGUGAAACUCUCACCGUCUUCCUCUGAGAUCACCGGAAAUGGAAAAGUCACCAUGAGGAAGACUGUUACCAAGGCCAAGCCAGUCUCUUCUGGCAGCCCAUGGUAUGGUCCUGAUCGUGUCAAGUACUUGGGCCCAUUCUCCGGUGAGUCUCCAAGCUACUUGACUGGUGAGUUUCCUGGUGAUUACGGAUGGGACACUGCUGGACUUUCAGCUGAUCCAGAAACUUUUGCUAAGAACCGUGAGCUAGAGGUGAUCCAC